AGUGAAGUGCCUGAAUAAAAGGGUUAUCGUGAUAGGAUAAAUUAUACAAUAUACAUAUGUCUUCACUA
This 68-nucleotide transfer RNA is filed under the name Anaplectoidea varia. Its description in RNAcentral is "tRNA-Ile". The record is from RNAcentral. Lineage: Eukaryota; Metazoa; Arthropoda; Insecta; Blattodea; Blattellidae.